RNAcentral lists this small RNA (87 nucleotides) under Sinorhizobium meliloti 2011. Its description in RNAcentral is "putative ncRNA". The record is from RNAcentral. Lineage: Bacteria; Pseudomonadati; Pseudomonadota; Alphaproteobacteria; Hyphomicrobiales; Rhizobiaceae.
ACCGCCGGCAACGAUGGCGCUCGACAGCUCCGUCGUUGCGGCCCAGCCGCCGACGCCGGCAACGAGGGCAAGCGCAAGGACCGAGAC